This 44-nucleotide non-coding RNA is filed under the name Arsenophonus endosymbiont of Trialeurodes vaporariorum. Its description in RNAcentral is "nuoG". It matches the Rfam family "nuoG RNA". Lineage: Bacteria; Pseudomonadati; Pseudomonadota; Gammaproteobacteria; Enterobacterales; Morganellaceae. The record is from RNAcentral.
GAAUUUUUGAUUAACGCCUGCUGAAAAAGCAGGCCAUUAGGAAG